Molecule: ribosomal RNA, 253 nt
Filed under: uncultured bacterium
Lineage: Bacteria
Description: partial 16S ribosomal RNA
Rfam family: Bacterial small subunit ribosomal RNA
Source: RNAcentral
UACAGAGGUCCCAAGCGUUGUUCGGAUUCACUGGGCGUAAAGGGUGCGUAGGCGGUCGGGUAAGUCUGAUGUGAAAUCUCACAGCUUAACUGUGAAACUGCAUUGGAUACUAUCCGGCUCGAGGAAUGGAGGGGAGACUGGAAUACUUGGUGUAGCAGUGAAAUGCGUAGAUAUCAAGUGGAACACCAGUGGCGAAGGCGAGUCUCUGGACAUUUCCUGACGCUGAGGCACGAAAGCUAGGGUAGCGAACGGG